UGCGGCCCUCGCGACCUAGAGUCCUGGGCCACGCCUGUCUGAGGGUCGGUUUCCGUUGUACAGCCUGG
RNAcentral lists this ribosomal RNA (68 nucleotides) under Diaspis nr. miranda PFRJ-2008. RNAcentral describes it as "partial 5.8S ribosomal RNA". Lineage: Eukaryota; Metazoa; Arthropoda; Insecta; Hemiptera; Diaspididae. The record is from RNAcentral.